GCGUCAUGCGUACAGCUGCUGACCGGCGCCCCUCUCACCCCACCUCACCUAGUGAGUGGCGCGUGGCAAGACAGGGAUGAGGGUGUCCUCCUCUCUCUUGCAACUCUAUGCCCAUGGCUGUGCGGUGACUCGCCUCACCCCACCCCAUCUGGACCAUGGCGUGAGGAGGCUCCCCACUCUCGCCUUGCCACUCGUUGCGCGCCCCACUACCUUUCCCCUUCGCUCGUGUUCGAUUCUAUAAAUGGGGAUCCUCCUCAGAUUCCCAGUAGUACCAGCCACCCGCCAUUAGGCUCUGCACAACUUGCGUGUCCGGCCCCCCUGCCGCCUCAUGUCUCGGUUAGUCCGAUAGUCAGUAGUUUGUCUCAACUCACCAUCACCAGAGAGCUGUAACGUAUGGAUAUCAACAUCUACCUGUACCUCCACCCUGCCACUGUAUGUAAACCAACCAACCGCUAGAGAGGAUCCCGUUGCGCGGAGCUUUAUAGCCGUGCCUUGUCAAUGUUCGCCUUUAGCGCCGGAUGCAAGGCCGCGCGCUGAUUGGACACGAGGGGCCGUCUCACAAAGGCGCCGCAACACAUUUUUAAAUUAAUUCGAAAAAGAGUAACUUCGACUGAUUCGGCCCUGUCGUCGCGCGUGCUUCGCGAGCGGAACUUAUCGACGCAUAAUCGCGCUACACGCGCCUCACACGAAUACCUUUCUGAAGGCGUAACAUCUGCUCCGCGGCCGCGGAGCGGCGAUGUGAAAGUGAGACAGACGCGAAGAGCGUAGAGGAGCAGCAACGAAGAAAAGGAAAAGUGGACGGCGUGGGUGCACAGACAAAAAAGGGAUACUAUUUUUUUAAAAUAUAAUACUACAGAACUAUAGUUCAACAAGAACAUUAUGAAAUGUUUCCGAAAAAACAUCGUGUCGGCCACCUAAUUUGUGGGCAGUGGCAGUAUUGCUUACAAAUAAUUCUAGCCUCUCAGCAAAUAUAUAAAUUGACAAUCA
Long non-coding RNA from Frankliniella occidentalis (western flower thrips), 987 nucleotides. RefSeq lists it as uncharacterized. The record is from RefSeq and is a predicted model, not a curated record. Lineage: Eukaryota; Metazoa; Arthropoda; Insecta; Thysanoptera; Thripidae. The transcript is spliced from 4 exons.